RNAcentral lists this long non-coding RNA (219 nucleotides) under Phaseolus vulgaris (common bean). Its description in RNAcentral is "long non-coding RNA (PVUL_LNC000802)". Lineage: Eukaryota; Viridiplantae; Streptophyta; Magnoliopsida; Fabales; Fabaceae. The record is from RNAcentral.
UAAGUCCUCUAGGAAUAGGAACUUCUGGGAUAAUAUCAAUGAUCUCAGAACUAACAAGAAACUUCUAAGAUUAAAAGAACCCAGGUCAUUGGAAAUAUAAGAAAAGAAAAGAAGAAAAAAUGAAAGUAUAUUUUGGAGAGAGUAUAAAGGAGAGAAAGUGAAAAAGUGUGUGUCUUUGGAGCAAACUUGAGACUUCUAUUUAUAGAUGGAGGAAACCGC